RNAcentral lists this unclassified non-coding RNA (286 nucleotides) under plant metagenome. Its description in RNAcentral is "partial contains small subunit ribosomal RNA, internal transcribed spacer 1, and 5.8S ribosomal RNA". The stretch from base 239 to 286 matches the Rfam family "5.8S ribosomal RNA", at positions 1 to 49 of the family's 154-position model. The record is from RNAcentral.
UUUCCGUAGGUGAACCUGCGGAAGGAUCAUUAUCGUACAAAAUGUGAGGGGCAUGCGAGGGCUGUCGCUGACCCAAAAGUCGUGCACGCCCGAGUGUGUCCUCUUGCAUAAUAAUCCAUCUCACCCUUUGUGCAUCACCGCGUGGGCACCCUUCGGGAUCAUCUCGGAGGGGGGCUCGCGUUUUCACACAGACCCCCCUUUUAAAAGUGUAGAAUGACCACAUUUAUGCAAUCAAUACAACUUUCAACAACGGAUCUCUUGGCUCUCGCAUCGAUGAGAACGCAGC